RNAcentral lists this ribosomal RNA (1091 nucleotides) under uncultured bacterium. RNAcentral's name for it is "bacterial SSU rRNA". It matches the Rfam family "Bacterial small subunit ribosomal RNA", at positions 275 to 1382 of the family's 1533-position model. The record is from RNAcentral.
GACGAUCCAUAGCUGGUCUGAGAGGAUGAUCAGCCACACUGGGACUGAGACACGGCCCAGACUCCUACGGGAGGCAGCAGUGGGGAAUCUUGCGCAAUGGGCGAAAGCCUGACGCAGCAACGCCGCGUGGGGGAUGAAGGCUCUCGGGUUGUAAACCCCUUUCAGCAGGGACGAACCAAGACGGUACCUGCAGAAGAAGCCCCGGCUAACUACGUGCCAGCAGCCGCGGUAACACGUAGGGGGCAAGCGUUGUCCGGAUUUAUUGGGCGUAAAGAGCUCGUAGGUGGCUGAGUAAGUCGGAUGUCAAAUCCCCAGGCUCAACCUGGGAUCCCAUCCGAUACUGCUCUGGCUAGAGUCCGGUAGGGGAGCGUGGAAUUCCUGGUGUAGCGGUGAAAUGCGCAGAUAUCAGGAGGAACACCAGCGGCGAAGGCGGCGCUCUGGGCCGGUACUGACACUGAGGAGCGAAAGCGUGGGUAGCAAACAGGAUUAGAUACCCUGGUAGUCCACGCCGUAAACGUUGGGCACUAGGUGUGGGACCUAUUCAACGGGUUCCGUGCCGUAGCUAACGCAUUAAGUGCCCCGCCUGGGGAGUACGGCCGCAAGGCUAAAACUCAAAGGAAUUGACGGGGGCCCGCACAAGCGGCGGAGCAUGUUGCUUAAUUCGAGGCAACGCGAAGAACCUUACCUAGGCUUGACAUGUAUGGAAAAGCCGCAGAGAUGCGGUGUCCUUCGGGGUCAUACACAGGUGGUGCAUGGUUGUCGUCAGCUCGUGUCGUGAGAUGUUGGGUUAAGUCCCGCAACGAGCGCAACCCUUGUCCUAUGUUGCCAGCGGGUAAUGCCGGGGACUCGUAGGAGACUGCCGGGGUCAACUCGGAGGAAGGUGGGGACGACGUCAAAUCAUCGUGCCCCUUAUGUCUAGGGCUGCAAACAUGCUACAAUGGCCGGUACAAAGGGCUGCGAAACCGCGAGGUGGAGCGAAUCCCAUAAAGCCGGUCUCAGUUCGGAUUGGAGUCUGCAACUCGACUCCAUGAAGCUGGAGUUGCUAGUAAUCCCGGAUCAGCAACGCCGGGGUGAAUACGUUCCCGGGCCUU